GCUGAAGUGAGAGCAAAGGCGGAGAGCAGAUAAAAAUGCAGUCGUUGUAGGCGUUCAGAUAAGAUUAGAACCAGCCAAAGAACUUGUUCAGGGUCGCAGAACUGUCAAGGGGCAGGAACUUAUCGGCCAAGGUCUGGACAGAAGGCAGUCUCAGAAUGUCAGCUUGGAAUGGGGUGUGUGGUCUCUGCUGAAGCCGAGGACAGAGAAGAUACUCACUGUGGCAAUUUUCCUGGGCAAGACUCAUGAGGAGUGACCAGGUGAUGGGGUCAGGGAUUCACUGUAGCGGGGCUCAGGUUGCUCUUCCUUUUCUGGGCCUGCGUGAGGAGGUUGCUUUAUUUGAUGGUUUGGUGUGUUCCAUAAGCUCAUGAGUCUGAAGUUUUAGAUUUGAGUUUGAUAAACCAGUGCAUCCAUGUGCUUCCGAUUAAUUUUAUAAGUUCACAGAUGUUCAUUUUUUUAGCACAAUUAAUUUGUUUGACAGUUUGGCUUUGGGUUGUGCUUGGCAGAGGGUGGUUGUUUACUUUGUAUAAACAAGAUAUAGAGUCAUUCCACCUCAGCACUUAAAAUGGAGUAGCUCAUAGCACAUUGCUUUAUAAAGUAGAGUAACUUAGGCAUAGUCUGAGAACUACUGUUCUAUAUACAUCAUAGAGUAACUCAGAGCAGGAUACCAUCCUGCUCUCCACAGAAACUUACUUUACCAAAAAUUGAACACCAGGGGGAAAAGGUGUUUCAUGAUACCAUUGAUUAAAUAUCAAUUAGUAAUUAAGAUACUGUACAACAAGUCUGAAAUUACAAUUUUUAAAAUAUCAAUUGCAUAUCCAAGUUUUUUGUUCAUUUUAGUUAUUUGAGUAUUUUUUUGUAUUUUUUAAUUUUAUUUUUGUGGUACAAUUUGUAUGCUGUAAAAUGCCCAUGUCUUAAGUGUUUAUAGCUCAAUUAAUUUUUACCUAAGUACAUCCCCAUGUAAUCACUCAGUACACAAUAAAGAACCUACCCAUUGCCCCAGCAUAUAUUUUUAAUUUUACUGAACAGUAAGGUAAAAGACCAGAUUGUUUAAUAAAAAAAUAUUUGGUAACUCUGUAGCUGAAAUUUCCAUCAACUGAUUAUUAACUUAUGUUUGAAGGAGUCCAGGACUAUGCGCUGAUAAAUAUCUUAAAUAUAAUCUGCCUAAGCAAAAUGUACAUGCCAUUUAUUUGUAUGUGUAUAUGUAUUUCUAAUUAUCAUUAUUCAAUUUAUAGUUACUACAUGUUUUGUGCCAUUGUGGUAGGCAGAUAAAUUGAUCCUUAGUCAAAGAAAAAAGGAUGUCUCUUGACUGCUUGUUUUUGUAUACAAUAUUGUACAAUAAAAGACAAAUUAAAAGAAAAAAAUUUAGAACAAGGAUCCUGUUUGCAAUUAUUUACUGAGAUAAUUACUUAUUAACCUAAGAAUAUUUUUAUCACUUGAUCCUAACUCUCAUUUUAUGAAUAUAUUGGAUGCAAUACUGAUAAUAAUCUCUGCUCUAGAAACAACUUGAAAUUAACACUAGAACCAGGAAACCUAGUUCAAAUUAGCACAGGAAUUAAGUCAUUUGCAGUGAAAAGUCCAAAGGAGUGACAGUUUGGUAACCACAUCUUUGAUUCUAACAUACUUUUUUUCCCCGUAGGCUUCAGUUUCUUCAUACAGAAGAUGAGGAAAUUAAAUUAGAAAAUCUCUAGUAUAUCAGUUCCACUCUAACAUUUUCAUUAAGUCUAUGGCUUAAUGUGUAAAGACAAAUUCCAUUUAAUGAAUUAUGCCAUGGUCCUUGAUAAAAACUUGAUCAUCUUCAACCAUGAAGGACACAUAGAUAUUUUAAUUGGUAUUUCUCCCUGUUUUCAUGAUGAUAUGAAAUCAUUAAUCAGAGAAAUUAUGUUUCCUUGAUUAUCUCCCACUCUUUCAAACUGCCCAGAGAAAACCAUUGGAUUGUUCUUAAAAAUUAGGGACAUUUGUACAUAUUUCAUUUAAAGUCCACGUAAGCUUAACCAGUAUCCCUCCCCCUCUACUCCUGACUUAAAAUGAAGAAGCACACAUUAUUUAAUGAAGUAAUGUAUCUAUGGUUUCUAUAUUUGCUCAAAUUCUUGCUUUCUUCCUUGUUUUCUUUCUACCUUAGAGCUUGAUGGACUUAUCUUAAUUACCAAGGCUGAAUAAACACUAGGGGGCUCCCUGGAGUGCAGAAUGUGCAAGAAAACUGCGGAAUACAGAUUACAAAUUAUGUAUAAUACUUCCAUUUUUCCUUGUCCUCAGGGACCAAAAAGUACUCAAUGUCACAAUAAAAAAACAUAAUAAACAUUACUAAUAUUUCCUAAAUGACAUAUGUGCAUAUGUGU
Molecule: long non-coding RNA, 2336 nt
Filed under: Marmota monax (woodchuck)
Lineage: Eukaryota; Metazoa; Chordata; Mammalia; Rodentia; Sciuridae
Source: RNAcentral